Molecule: unclassified non-coding RNA, 332 nt
Filed under: soil metagenome
Description: partial contains 5.8S ribosomal RNA, internal transcribed spacer 2, and large subunit ribosomal RNA
Rfam family: 5.8S ribosomal RNA (bases 1-120)
Source: RNAcentral
GAUGAAGAACGUAGCAAAAUGCGAUAAGUAAUGUGAAUUGCAGAAUUCAGUGAAUCAUCGAAUCUCUGAACGCACAUUGCGCCCGCCAGUAUUCUGGCGGGCAUGCCUGUUCGAGCGUCAUUUCAACCCUCAAGCACAGCUUGGUGUUGGGACUCGCGUUAAUUCGCGUUCCCCAAAUUGAUUGGCGGUCACGUCGAGCUUCCAUAGCGUAGUAGUAAAACCCUCGUUACUGGUAAUCGUCGCGGCCACGCCGUUAAACCCCAACUUCUGAAUGUUGACCUCGGAUCAGGUAGGAAUACCCGCUGAACUUAAGCAUAUCAAUAAGCGGAGGA